This 534-nucleotide ribosomal RNA is filed under the name Fusarium sp. E9715b. RNAcentral describes it as "eukaryotic LSU rRNA". The stretch from base 167 to 320 matches the Rfam family "5.8S ribosomal RNA". The record is from RNAcentral. RNAcentral also lists the same sequence under 1 other name. Lineage: Eukaryota; Fungi; Ascomycota; Sordariomycetes; Hypocreales; Nectriaceae.
CCUGCGGAGGGAUCAUUACCGAGUUUACAACUCCCAAACCCCUGUGAACAUACCAAUUGUUGCCUCGGCGGAUCAGCCCGCUCCCGGUAAAACGGGACGGCCCGCCAGAGGACCCCUAAACUCUGUUUCUAUAUGUAACUUCUGAGUAAAACCAUAAAUAAAUCAAAACUUUCAACAACGGAUCUCUUGGUUCUGGCAUCGAUGAAGAACGCAGCAAAAUGCGAUAAGUAAUGUGAAUUGCAGAAUUCAGUGAAUCAUCGAAUCUUUGAACGCACAUUGCGCCCGCCAGUAUUCUGGCGGGCAUGCCUGUUCGAGCGUCAUUUCAACCCUCAAGCCCUCGGGUUUGGUGUUGGGGAUCGGCGAGCCCUUGCGGCAAGCCGGCCCCGAAAUCUAGUGGCGGUCUCGCUGCAGCUUCCAUUGCGUAGUAGUAAAACCCUCGCAACUGGUACGCGGCGCGGCCAAGCCGUUAAACCCCCAACUUCUGAAUGUUGACCUCGGAUCAGGUAGGAAUACCCGCUGAACUUAAGCAUAUCA